Molecule: ribosomal RNA, 344 nt
Filed under: uncultured soil bacterium
Lineage: Bacteria
Description: bacterial SSU rRNA
Rfam family: Bacterial small subunit ribosomal RNA
Source: RNAcentral
AGGACGAACGCUGGCGGCGUGCUUAACACAUGCAAGUCGAGCGGUAAGGCCUUUCGGGGUACACGAGCGGCGAACGGGUGAGUAACACGUGGGUGAUCUGCCCUGCACUUCGGGAUAAGCCUGGGAAACUGGGUCUAAUACCGGAUAUGACCUCCUAUCGCAUGGUGGGUGGUGGAAAGAUUUAUCGGUGCAGGAUGGGCCCGCGGCCUAUCAGCUUGUUGGUGGGGUAAUGGCCUACCAAGGCGACGACGGGUAGCCGACCUGAGAGGGUGACCGGCCACACUGGGACUGAGACACGGCCCAGACUCCUACGGGAGCAGCAGUGGGGAAUAUUGCACAAUGGG